Non-coding RNA from Equus caballus (horse), 1912 nucleotides. The record is from RefSeq and is a predicted model, not a curated record. NCBI's taxonomy places the organism in Eukaryota, Metazoa, Chordata, Mammalia, Perissodactyla, Equidae.
CAUGCCAAUUGCAAGUUCGGGUCGUGACCUGUGCUCCUGACAAAGCGGCCGCGAGACCGCCCGUUCCCACCCGCCUCCCCUCCUUGGGUUCGAGGGCUCUGAUAGAGCGGCUCACACAACUCGGGAGAACCUCUCCCUUCUGAACAGCCACAGGGAAGAGGCGCAUAGAGCAAAACAUGUGUGGCGGGGAGGAGGAGCUCCCGGGGCCUCUCUGGGGGUGCCGCUCUCCCCGAACCUCCACGUGUUCGCCAGCGCGGCAGCUGUCUGAGCGCCGUCCUUUCGCAGUCUGACGGAGACUCCAUCGCCUGGGCAUAGUCGAUUACGGUCAUUGGCCGUUGGCUGCUCAGCGCGACCUUCAGCCCCUCUUGCCCCCGCCCCCGCCCCAGGGCUGGGGGCGGGGACGGGGACGGGCCUGAAACUGCCAAGGCCCGAAUCGAAUCGCACAGUUGGUUUCCCCGGCACCCAGCCCCCACCCUUAGGGCUUCUCCAACACUCGCCUCGUUAACACCAGUUCAGGUGGCGUUGAAAGGGGCUUGUUAGGAAUAACACCAGACAAACCGCUUCGCCUUUCUGGCUCUGGACUCGUUUCAGGAACUGAGCCCUAAAGUGAUUCUCCUAACCAGAGAUGCGCCAUGUGGCUCUCGUAGGGGCAAUCACAGCACCUUGAGGCGCUCGGUGCCAGAAACCAAGGGAAGACAUUUACUGUUAUAGCGCCAGGAGCGCACAGCAUUGAGAGCACUAAGGUCUCGAGCAAAGCUAGAGUCCCCUGCUCUGAAAACUUCCUGAUUCCGGGAAAGCUUCCUCUUUCUGGCUUCUGGCUUCAAGGGGCGUAUGUUUUACCCGGGGCCGGCCCCCUACCUGCUUCCGUUUUACCUUUCCUGGCGUGGCACCGGCUGCUCACUCCACCUGUCCUUGGGCCCAUAGUUCCGAGUUAGCCCUGCUUGAAUCAUGUAGGGGAGUCUCUCGCUUCUCAGGGGCUGCUGUAUCCUGCAAGAGGGCCAUCAGCUCACCUCCCCCACUUCUUGGCGCUUGGAGCUCGGUUUUCUCCUGUUCCCGGCCUGUGGAGGCCCCUAACUCACAGAGCACGUCCCUCCCUAGAAGGCGGUGGGGAACGGGGCAUUCUGGUACAUGCGGCGAGGAAUCCUUCAGCAGUUUGGACCCUGUUUCACAGGUCCAGGGCUCCAGAAAGCUUCCGGUCUCUCCCAUUCCUGAGACCUCCUUCAGUUCACACUUUCCUUCGGAAAGGUUUCCCUUGUGGGCAUUCCACACCAAGAACACGGCUCCACUAGGGAGCAAAGAUUCAGCCUGCUCCCCUCCUCCCUGCCGAGGUCACCGGGGCCUCCCGGAGCCAACCGGGGGAGGGGGCUGUCCCUCAGCCCCAUCACGUCUCAUCUGUGGUCAAGGGAAACUGCCACGGCUCGGGCUUCUUCGAUCCCUUCCCUCCCUGGGGACGGUUCGGACAAUCCUGCCACCAACGCCCUUGCUCUUGGCAGUCCGCCCACCGAUUAGCCCCCGACAUUGCGGGUGGCCUCCUGGCCCCUCGGUGGGGGCCGGGGUUACUCACCCAUGGCAUAUGCCCCCUCUCCCUCAGGAUACCUUGAGGAGACUGGCGGGCCACAGCGAGCAGGGCGGCCUGCCUUUUCAUCAUCCUGUCUUCCUUUGCAUCCUCAGCUUCAAGCCGGUUAUGGAGCACCCUCCGUGCAGCCACUCGGAGCUGUGCAGGACUGGUAGCAGGACCGAUCGGCAACUUUGGGAGUUUCCCACGGGUGUCUGGAGCACUUCUGAGGUCUGAAACACGGAUUCGGGAUCACUGUACUGCCCCGGGCCUCCAGGUCCCAGUUUGUGUAUCGCCUGAGGCAGUCCUGCGGCCUCUGGAACAAAGAUCAUUGGGAUUCCACCCUGCCUCGCUCUC